GGUGUCAACUCUGGUCUGGUGGAGGAGAACCCAUUGGGAGCCCAGGAAAACAGCUUGCAGAUAGAUGCUGUGAUGAAGUGGAAGACGGGACUGGGAGAGAAGGCUGUGGAGCUCCUCAUAGCGGAGACACUCAAACACGCCCCGGCAGCCCAUUCAAAACAAGCCAGGGCCAACAGACAGGACCC
Osmerus eperlanus (European smelt) is the source of this 185-nucleotide long non-coding RNA. RefSeq lists it as uncharacterized. NCBI's taxonomy places the organism in Eukaryota, Metazoa, Chordata, Actinopteri, Osmeriformes, Osmeridae. The record is from RefSeq and is a predicted model, not a curated record. The transcript is spliced from 3 exons.